RNAcentral lists this long non-coding RNA (761 nucleotides) under Nicotiana benthamiana. RNAcentral describes it as "long non-coding RNA (NBEN_LNC017110)". Lineage: Eukaryota; Viridiplantae; Streptophyta; Magnoliopsida; Solanales; Solanaceae. The record is from RNAcentral.
CCCAUGUCAUGUAGUUCUUGCCCGAAAUUUCAAGGGCAAUAAACUUUCUUUUCAUAAUGUUAUAAACAAACUUGAGACAAACUAUAAGCAAAUUUGUAAAACAUGUGAAAUGAAUACAUAACUAUUUGCUUCCCAUGAUCUAAUGAUCAGAUGAAUAUAAAACAACACGACAAACAAGAUUAUGUGGAGAUAGGAAACAAUACAGGUGCACACACUAAGUACCAUUGCAGGCAUAACAUUGCAAUUUUAUGAACUUAUGCAUUAUCAGAAUUGUACAUUGAUAUAAUGAUAUGAAUAAACUUAAUAAUGAUAUGCACAUAUGAAGAAACACUAAACAAUAAUAAUAGUGAUAAUAGGCAAAACAAGUGAGAAAUAUUCAUGACGUUCAACUCCGUAAAAUAUGAAGAAACACAGAAUAAUACUAAGGUUAAACACAAUAUAUUAAAUAUAGUAAUAGCUUAAUUAAAAUGUAACAAAGACUUAACAAUUUGUGCAAGUAGAGCAGUUAUACCAUAAAGCAAUGUCUUUCAUUCAUGUGAAUACAUGGCAUGUGUGGUGAGUGCAUGAUAUAAAACACGAUAAAUUGAAUUUCCAGUUCCAGAGAUUGACCAUCAUUCAAGACCAUCAAAUGGUUGUCGUAAAACUUUUAGGGCUCAGAGAAAGAAGGAAGCAAGAAGGAAGAGAGAAAAAAAAAAUACCUUAAUUUUCUCAAAGAGAUUCUUGAGAUAGUAGAGCUUCGUGCUGAUAACGUGUUAUGAAAU